UUGAUUUCUCAUCAAUUGAUUUCUCCCAAGUCAUGUAUUUAGGGUUAUUUUUACUGACCAUAAUUUUACGUCUCUCACAAACAUAACCCUUAGUACAUGACUUGGGAGAAAUCAAUGCUCUCCAACCGUGUAAAUAUUGCAAGUAAGGGAUCUCUAGAUCGAUUUUUGAAAUGCUACACUUUCAUCUGUCAGCAACUCGAGCCCAAUUGUUAGUCUAGAUCAGACAAUGCUUUGCCGACAACUUGGAGUUUUCUACUUCUCCUGAUUUCCAUGCAUUACUAGAAAGAAUCCAAGCGUCUUUUGGUUUCAACUUUCUUGAGACUCUGCUGCAUUAUGCAAAACUUUUGUGGAAAAUUGUCAAUGAUAAUCAUAUGGAAAUGAUUGUCAAAUAAACAGAGCUGAAUUUGAAAUUCCAACCAUUUGAUGUCAUUAAUAUGUAAAUACGAUUGUGGCCGCCAAGUGUCUUUGCAGUAAACCCACAAUCAUACACACACACGCAAAUCGUGGGACAAGGGCAAACCCAAACAACCCACGAACCACUUACAUAUUUUCACGAUUGACCUUUUCGCAAACGCUUAAAAAAAUAAACUGGAAACGAAGAAAGUGACAUUCUCUGAAUACGAGAAACCCUCCGAACUUAUUACACACAUGAAUGUUAUCAUCAUCAUCAUCAGGAGCAGUUAUCGAGCUCCGUUUCUGGGUGGGAGGAAAAUUUGAAUAAUAAUGAAAUUACAUAUUUUCCAGAUCAUCGGCAAAAUGGCAAAGAACAAACUUGAAAAUUCAAUUGUAUUUAAUAGCUGCGAGACGGGCACGCUUAGGGCCCACGUGGACACCAUUUGUGUAAUAUAAUUCCCGAGUACCACCAAUGAAUAUUCAAUUUCAAAAUUUUGUGUGUUCUUAGGAAGUUUUUUUUUUCUGAAAUGUAAACACAGCUGCUAAAACAAAAUCCGAAGGACUAGAGAACGUAAAAUGAA
This is a long non-coding RNA of Musca domestica (house fly), 974 nucleotides long. RefSeq lists it as uncharacterized. NCBI's taxonomy places the organism in Eukaryota, Metazoa, Arthropoda, Insecta, Diptera, Muscidae. The record is from RefSeq and is a predicted model, not a curated record. The transcript is spliced from 2 exons.